GAACAAUAAAAGUAAAAACUUUCGGCAAAGACGCUGAAAAAUUCUACCAAGUCGUUCAAGAAGGAGAAUUUUACACCCUGCAGUUCGCUAAAGUUGUCCCAACUGCAAACCCCACCAGAAAGGUGAAGGCUUCCAAAAUGUCAUUGAAAACAUUAGGGCCCGGAAGGAAUCACAGGGGUGUUGAAGAAUUUGAUGACACAAAUUUUGAUUGGCUAUCCUACCACGAAAAUGUUAAAAAAAUGUUUGAGCUGACAAACGAGUCUCCAACUGCUACUCCAGCUUUAUUGCAGCUUUGGGAAUCAACUUUUUCUGGUCGAAGAAGGGAGCUCGAAACCAAUGUGCUUCCUCAAGGCGUAUUCCCUGUUAUAAAUACCCGAUGCCCUAUUCUCAAACUACAACAAUGAUUACUGGAAGAAUUCGAUUUGAUAUGUGGACCGGGAACAUGCAGGAUCUUUCGAGAAAACUGGCUCAAGUUAGUUCCAAACAUCAUUGAUAUUGCUGGGAAGCAAAAGAUUUCGAAUAAAGUUGCUGAAAUUCUACAUCGUUAUCGUUCUUUGGAUUCACCUGAUUUCGAAACUAGUUCUUGCGCAGCCCUAGAGCUGCUUCCAUCAUUACUGCCAACUAGAAAACUGAAGGAUUCCUGUAGAUUUUUCUUCGACUGCCAUGAGGACUCAGUUAAUUUGGCUGAAGCAAUAAGGAAGCCCCAUCGCGAGUCACCCUUCAUUCUCAAACACGGGUCUUCGUUCCAUAUCAUUGCUGAUAGCAAACCGUAUUUAUACGUUUCUGGAGAAUCGAUGGAGGCCCUCCUUUCCCUCAUAGCAACUUAUUAUGUGUUUCACCAGACCUACGCGAAGGAAGUGUCAACCACAUUACAGUUUAUUCAAAGUGAAGUGCUUGCUGCGGACGACCCGGAUACCAAAUAUGCAAAUUCAUUAACGGUAUUUGUCCAAAAUUUGCGCAAAUUAGCUGCAUGUAAUGCGGAGUAAAAUGUUCGUAGCUCGUGCUCGUUGUGUCCAUCCUGCCUCUAAUUAUGUCAAAUCGACCUGUUGAAUGUUAAUCCAGAUUGUUAAAGUGUGUUACUUUCGUGGCAGAUCUAAGUGCUGAUCGAGCGCGGAAU
Daphnia magna is the source of this 1117-nucleotide long non-coding RNA. RefSeq lists it as uncharacterized. Lineage: Eukaryota; Metazoa; Arthropoda; Branchiopoda; Diplostraca; Daphniidae. The record is from RefSeq and is a predicted model, not a curated record. The transcript is spliced from 5 exons.